GAUGAACGCUGGCGGCGUGCCUAACACAUGCAAGUCGAACGGAGAUUCCGGACGGAAGUUUUCGGAUGGAAGACUGUAAUUCUUAGUGGCGGACGGGUGAGUAACGCGUGGGCAACCUGCCCUAUACAGGGGGAUAGCAGCUGGAAACGGCUGGUAAGACCGCAUAAGUCGGCGAGACCGCAUGGUUUUGCCGGGAAAUGAGCAAUCAGGUAUAGGAUGGGCCCGCGUCCGAUUAGCCAGUUGGCAGGGUAAAAGCCUACCAAAGCAACGAUCGGUAGCCGGACUGAGAGGUCGGACGGCCACAUUGGGACUGAGACACGGCCCAAACUCCUACGGGAGGCAGCAGUGGGGGAUAUUGCACAAUGGAGGAAACUCUGAUGCAGCGACGCCGCGUGAGUGAAGAAGUAUUUCGGGAUGUAAAGCUCUAUCAGCAGGGAAGAUGAUGACGGUACCUGACGAAGAAGCCCCGGCUAACUACGUG
This 481-nucleotide ribosomal RNA is filed under the name uncultured bacterium. RNAcentral describes it as "partial 16S ribosomal RNA". It matches the Rfam family "Bacterial small subunit ribosomal RNA", at positions 28 to 507 of the family's 1533-position model. The record is from RNAcentral.